This 457-nucleotide ribosomal RNA is filed under the name uncultured bacterium. RNAcentral's name for it is "bacterial SSU rRNA". It matches the Rfam family "Bacterial small subunit ribosomal RNA", at positions 340 to 789 of the family's 1533-position model. The record is from RNAcentral.
UACGGGAGGCAGCAGUGGGGAAUAUUGCACAAUGGGCGCAAGCCUGAUGCAGCCAUGCCGCGUGUAUGAAGAAGGCCUUCGGGUUGUAAAGUACUUUCAGCGGGGAGGAAGGCGAUGCGGUUAAUAACCGCGUCGAUUGACGUUACCCGCAGAAGAAGCACCGGCUAACUCCGUGCCAGCAGCCGCGGUAAUACGGAGGGUGCAAGCGUUAAUCGGAAUUACUGGGCGUAAAGCGCACGCAGGCGGUCUGUUAAGUCAGAUGUGAAAUCCCCCGGGGCUUAACCUGGGAACUGCAUUUUGAAACUGGCAGGCUUGAGUCUGUAGAGGGGGUAGAAUUCCAGGUGUAGCGGUGAAAUGCGUAGAGAUCUGGAGGAAUACCGGUGGCGAAGGCGGCCCCUGGGACAAAGCUGACGCUCAGGUGCGAAAGCGUGGGGAGCAAACAGGAUUAGAUACCCGU